Centruroides sculpturatus (bark scorpion) is the source of this 188-nucleotide small nuclear RNA. RefSeq annotates it as U2 spliceosomal RNA. NCBI's taxonomy places the organism in Eukaryota, Metazoa, Arthropoda, Arachnida, Scorpiones, Buthidae. The record is from RefSeq and is a predicted model, not a curated record. The transcript has a single exon.
AUGACUUUUAGUUGCCCACAAACUCUAAAUAAACAUUUCUGUUCUAAUCAGCUUAAUAUUUGAUUCGCUUCUACCAGAAGCUUCGAUAUUAAAUUGAUUUUUGGAAACUGGCGAAAGUUUGGAGCUUGCUCCUCCUUUGUCGCGGGUUGGCUCGGAUUUGCACUGUUUCCGAGAAUAGCCCACACACA